Molecule: long non-coding RNA, 14267 nt
Filed under: Podarcis lilfordi (Lilford's wall lizard)
Lineage: Eukaryota; Metazoa; Chordata; Lepidosauria; Squamata; Lacertidae
Source: RNAcentral
CCAGAUUGAAAGGGGCGUGGGGCCAGUCAGAGCUCUCGGUUCGGGGCGAGGGUGGGUGCUCGGGUGUUCCGCGCCUCUCAGUAAGGGCGUGGUCUCCGCGAGAGGCGGGAACCGAAGAAAGGUAUGGGGGAGGGUUGUUUCUCCCCCCCUCCUUUUCUGAGCAUGCGCGCUGUUGACUUGCACUGGGUAAGGCUAAGGUUGUCUGUUUGGAAGGAAGGAAGGGGUGGGGGAUGGGGACGGGCCUGCCGGUUCCCCCCCCCCAAAUCCCGCGCUUUUUAGUUCUGAGGAAGGAAACGGCUGUGGAAAGCAAUGCAGGCCGCACGCCCGUUUGCUCGGAAGCAAGCCUCUCGGGCUCCAAGGCGGCUUCGUUGCCAAGGAGCAGGGCUUGAAUGGCAGCCGUGUGGCGGGAUGUGGCCGCGCAGGGAGCCGAGGCACGAGGGCGGGGGCCGAAUCCAGGAUGCAGAGAUGUUGGGUGACUUGAUUUGUGAUGGCUGCUUGAACUCGGCUAAGGAGGAACCGGCGGGGAAGGAACCGAGAGGGCUGUGUAUCUGGUCCGGCCUUGGAAGCGAAAAUGGCUGUGUAAACGCACUAGCAGCAAACCAGUGAUAGGUUUGGUUUAUUUAUUCAUUUUUCAAGAUCCAGGCUAACGUGUUUUUUUUUAAACUCCCUCGACCCACCCACCCCCACCCGCCUCAGACUUCUGGUCGACAUGGAAAGCUUGCACACUGUUUUGCAACAUCUGGAGGGGACCUAACGCCGCUGUUUGACCAGCUCUGGAUUUUGGAAGGCCUCCACCUUUUUAUUAUGACGCUUGGAUCUUUCCUCCAAGGUGCUUAUGGGGACCAUAAACGGCCCUGUUAUUAAUAUAUUUAUUAAUUACCCUCCCUUCAACCCAAGGUCCCAGGGUGAGUUACAGCAAUUAAAACAAAAUGUUCAGAAUAGUUUACAACAACUUACAAGCCUCCAAAUAACAUGGCUCCGGAAAAUAUACCUCUCCUGUUCCUGUUUUUGAAAAUGCAAAUAAAAAUUAAAAAAGAAAAUAUAUCUUUCCGGUAUCAAAAGCCAGGGUAAAGAGGUGUCUUCAGCAUUUGCCAAAAGCCGUAUAAUAAAGAUGCCCAGUGUGCUCCACCCAUCUUUUUCAUCUUCCCAACAAACCUGAGAGUUAAGUUAGGCUAGGACUACAAAGAGCGACUGGACCAAAACCAGCAAGUUAGGCUGUGUACACAUUCCUGUUUACUCUCCAUGUAAUAGCCACAAUCUAUAUUGUCUUGUUUCUGAUGAAAUGUUGCUCGCUGGAAACUGGGGGGCAGGGGGAGAGAAUGAUGCAUUUUUUUUUAAAGCAGCAGUGCAUACACAGCCUCUGUUUCAUGUGGAUUUGAAUCUGUGUCUCCCCAGUCCUAGCCCAGUUUAUGAAGCUAUCAACUUCAUGUAACUCAACAGCCCCUCAUUUCAAUUCUCUGGCCCUGGGAUGUAAUCUGGGAUUAGGGUGGGUGCAUUUCUGAGAUCUUGGAGUCAACUGUUUCUCACCUGUAUGUUCAUUGCUUAUUCAUGACUCUUGUCCUGCCCUGCAUAGUGCUGCCUCAAUACUCAAAAUAGGCACAGCUUCUUCUGGUGGUAUUUUUGGCAUGAAGUCAUACAUUUCUCACACAUUUUUGACUCUCAGCUGUGCUUGCUUCUGAAGGAAGCCUGUUCGUAUUAGUGAGUUUACUUUGGAGAAAAAGCCACUGGGGAACAGUAGCCUGUUUCAUAAUCGGCAAGAAGGCACUGUCACAAAUUUCAGGGUCUUUUCACCUUUCAGUCAUUAAUGGUGUUUCAGCAUGUACUGCUGUAAUUUGAUCUGACAUUGCAGUUUCACUGAAGAUAGGUGCUUCCCCAUGUGUGAAACACUACAACCAACAUGUAGGUUAGUGUGAGAACAUAAUCUCAUUGAUAAGUUUCUUGCAUGUUAAUGGCAAUAACUAGUCUCUGCAAGUGAACUACGUUAGCUGUGUACAGGCGUAAAUUUUGCAGAAUUUAUUUUGUGCUUUGAGGUGCACCAGCUGAAGUACACAGUAGUCGCUUGGGGUGGAGUCAGAUGCAAAAUGGUAUCUUGGGGUGCAGCCACUUAAGUAUCACAUCCAAGUACACAUCUACUUUCAUGUGCAAUUAAAGAUCAGGGGCUUUAGCAGCCUAAUUUAAAGUAGCCUUGUACAUAAUCCCACAAAGGUGACCAGCAUGGAAAUAUAUUUACAGUGAUACAUCGGGUUAAGAACUUAAUUCAUUCUGGAGGUCUGUUCUUAACUUGAAAGUGUUCUUAACCUGAAGCACCACUUUAGCUAAUGGGGCCUCCUGCUGCCACCGCGCCGCUGGAGCACGAUUCCUGUUCUCAUCCUGAAGCAAAGUUCUUAACCCGAGGUAAUAUUUCUGGGUUAGUGGAGUCUGUAAGCUGAAGCAUAUGUAACCUGAAGCAUAUGUAACCCGAGGUACCACUGUACUGGCCUGUUGUGGCCUGCCAAGAAGGGGACAAAGGGAUUGGUUCCUCCAACUGCAUGCAGUUGGUUUUUGUUGCUGUUGCUAUUGUCAAAUCUACAAGCAAUAAAGUGGUAGAACAGAGCUUUCCAAACUCUGCGUCACGACAUGUUUGUGUGUAGGUGUGUCGCACAAAUGCUCCCUCCUGGCCCUGGAAAGGGUUCGUUUAACCUCCGGUUUGCUAGUAAAAUUGAAUUACUGUGUCACGAAAUGAUGCAUGUCCAAAAAGCAUGUCACCAACUUGAAAAGUUCUGUGGUAGAGCCUCAUCUACUUUCUGUCUACCCCUGUGUUAGGAAGAGUAUCACUGUGGAUUUGGAACUAAUGAGGGCUUUCUUCACACUUCGCUCCAAAAGUAGUCCGUUACAGUAGCAGCAACCAUGCUCCCUCCAAACCAAAUAGCGACACCUUCCAGAGAAAUUGUUAAUACAGCCUGAAUAAAACUUACCACCCACAGAAAGCUUUAAAGUCAACAGAAUUGAGGCAUAACUUGGGAACAUUUUGGAGUGGCAGAAAAACACAACCUCUCCCAUUCAUCACUGAUUAUUAAGUACUAGCAGAGCAUCAUAGGUUCCUAGGCAAAAUACAUACAGUAAUGCCUUUUCUUUUGUGUCUGUAGGAAUCUGGACAGGCUAACUUGACUAUUGAUUCCAGCAAUAAAGUUCUCCUCAAUCCUAUCCCAUGUUUCAGGAGUACCUGUAGCCCUCCAAAUGUUGCUGAACUGCCCCUCCCAUCAUCCUUGACCGUUACCCAUGCUGGGUGGAGUUAAUGGGAGUCGUGGGCGUAGCCAUGAUUUUUGUUAGUGCAGGCAGGCCUGGGGGGGCGGGCAGAACCUCAGUUUGCUAUGUAUUUUUAUUGAUUUGGGGGGGGAGCUGCCCCACCUUGGCUACACUCAUGGCUGCAGUCCAGUAACAUCUGGAGGGCUCUGGGUUCCCUACACUUGCUGUAUAUACAACAAAGCAGUCAUUUUGGCAUCCUUCAAAAACUAAAAGGGCUUUCCCUCUUGGGACCUCCUGGGUAUCAUGGCUUCUUUGUCCCACUCAGAUUGGAGCAAUGAAUCAAUCAAAGCUCCCUCCAGCUAGUUGCAUUCCCACACAUGCCUUUGGGUGCAUAGACCCUAUACAUUCAAGGUUCACACACUGUGGAAUCCUGGGAACCAUAGUUCUGGGAGUUAUAGCUUUGUACAGGGUAAACUAAACUUCCCAGGAUUCUUUGGAGUGGGAGAAAUGCACCUUAAAUAUAUGGUAUGCACACAGUCCCAAUUAGUUACCCUACCAGGAAGAAUUACAUAGGGCUUACAGUCAGUUCUCUGCCUCCAGUGAGCUUCUGCUUCUUGAACAGCAAGUUGUUGCCCAUUUGUUCUUGCUUCAUAGCUAGCCUUAGGCACAGAUCCUGCACUCUUGCCAGAUCCUUUUGUCUCAGCAGCAGCCAGCUCCCAAUAUUGCCAUAUUCCAUGCAAUUUUUAGCAAUGUUAAGGACACUGUAUAUAACAUUUGUAACCCACCAACUCCUUUUUAAAAAAAUCACAGCAAUGUACAAUAAAUCAUUAAAACAUCAUAAAUGCAGAACAAAUGAGCAACACUUACUGAAAUUAGUCCCACUAGCAAGACAGAAACAUUUUCAGGUGACAAAAUAUCAGGGGCCUGUCAGAUUUCAAUAGGAAAAGUGUCCCAAAUUACUGUUGGCACUAUGCUAAAAGCCUCAAUUCAUGUCAAAGCUAAAUAAAUAACUGUGGGACAGUUGGGAGGGCUUCUUCAGGUGAUCACAGUGGCUGGCCAGUUUGUAAGGGAUAAUGUGAUCUUCUAGGUAGCCUGUUCUUUAGCCAUUUAGGGCUUAAUACACCAACAGUAAUACCUUAAAACUAGCUCAGUAAUGUACUGGCAGCAGUGUAGCGCUUUCAAUGCAGGUAUAAUAUGGUGGUGUGGAGCUGUUCUGGCCAGAAGCUGGGCUAUAGCAUUCUGUGCAAGCUACAGUUUCCAAACCAACCUCAAGGGUAGCCCCACAUAGAACACAUUGCAGUAGUUCAGCUUACAUGUUCAUAUGCACUUAAAUGGAAAUGGAAAAACAGGCCCAGCAAUCAGAACCUAUGCUGUCAUGGAGAUGUCACCUAAAGACCCGUCACUGUCAAAGCUGAUCACUGCAACAUUAUUUCUGAUUUAAUUAUUGUUGUUUUAAAAAAACUGUAGGCACCUGUCUAGGAAUGUACAAGGCGACAGAUGCUAAUUUUACUAUAUUUACUUUAUCUUAUCAUUUUCUACAGCAAAAGUGUGCUUAUUCCCAGGGAAAUGUGUUUAGCAAUCCGGAGGGGGACUCAAGACACAUUUGUCAUUGCAGUAGCCAUACGGGUUCUUUGAUUUAAGUGAGUUUUUAAACACUGAAACUGCGCAUGCUCAGAGAACAUUUUCUUUUGGCAGGGUUGGCUGACUGUUGUGCGUUUUUUGCUCUAACUUAUUAGGGAUAUAGAAGGAGUUGUGAAACAUGGGCCAGUUAUGGAGAAAGGGAGAGGAAAAAUUACUUGUAUGCUUCACAACUAAAGUACACAUGGCCAGCUAAAGCCACUGCCCCCUGAAAGAUAAUUAAGGCCGUGUACACACCAUACAUACAAGGCAUAUCUCUCCCAAAAGAAUAUGGGAACUGCAGUUCACCCCUCCCUGCACCCUUAAACUACAAUUCCCAGGAUUCUUUGAGGGUAAAGUGUGCUUUAAAUGUGAUAAAGUAAAGGUAAAGGGAGCCCUGACCAGUAGGUCCAGUCGUGGCCGACUCUGGGGUUGCGGUGCUCAUCUCGCUUUAUUGGCCAAGGGAGCCAGCGUACAGCUUCCGGGUCAUGUGGCCAGCAUGACUAAGCCGCUUCUGGUGAACCAGAGCUGUGCACGUUUACCAUCUUGCCGGAGCGGUACCUAUUCAUCUACUCGCACUGGUGUGCUUUCAAACUGCUAGGUUGGCGGGAGCAGGGACUGAGCAAUAUUUUAUUUAUUUAUUUACGGCUAUUAGCCCAUAAAGUAUGUACAAACAUAAAAGCACAGAGGCAUAAAAACUAAUAUAUUCGGCACCAGAAGGUGAACACCAUGAUGCAGGGGUGGGUCAUUGAGCAGAGCCAGAUAACAGCUAGGGGCCCGGAGAGCUCCAAGGGACGGAUCCCUGAAAAGGAGAACUGAAGACGGGAUCCGACAUGCACUCUCUUCAAAACUGUCCGAUUAGUUUUUGAUGUUGUUGUUUUUGGUGGUUUUUGUGUGUGAGAUAACUGCAUUCAGGAAUCUCGCCACCUGCAGAGUUACAGAAGGAUCUGUAUCCUGCAAAAGUAGUGCGGCAUGUGACUCAGCAGGCCUGCCAACCAAGCGCAGUAAAGCAGGGCCCAGGAAUUUAGUCCUGGCUAUGCUAUGUCGGGGACAGUUGAACAUUAUAUGUGAGAGAGAAUCAACAGUUUUCCCGUCACACACGCAUAGCGGAGACACCAAACCCUUGGAAAAUCUGUGGCUCAGCAGGUUCGAUGGAAAGACAUUGAACCUUGCACGAAUAAAUGCAUGUCGGUGUGGUACAGAUGAAAGAGAUGACAUGUAUGAUGGAAGGCCAAGUGGUGAGGUUAUUCCGUGAUACCUGGGGGAGCAGACACCCUCACCCCCGGCGAGGUUGUGUUGAUUUUCAAUGUCUGCUAAUCUCUGCUCAAUAAGUCUUUUGGCUGAGCGUAAGUUCAUCUUUAAGGAAUCCGCUGGGGAAAUUCCGAUGCUCAGAAGUUUGGCAUGGAUUUUUCCUACCCAUGGAUUGACAAAGUCGUCCCGCCAGAGGCACUGAAAAAGGUAAUGGUUGGGAAGCCUGUGCCAGCUGGACAGCCAAUAGCCAAAGACUCGCUUCCAGAUGACCGUCUCCAAUGAUGCAAUCCUUAACUCCAGACGUAUGGCUGCGUUGCUCACACACAUGGGGAGUUUCAGGAGGCGACGGAGAAACUGAUUCUGCAAUGUCCCCAACGAUGUUAAAUUGGACCCUGGGGCCCAGAGCGGGGCAGCAUAACAGAGGGUGGAAACCACUUUUGCAUGGUACACCUUCAAUGCAGAAGGGAUGUGGGAGGCUCCGUCGGCCGCAAAAAAUUGGAGUAGAGUAUAAAGUAUUGUUUUCCCUUUGUUUAGUAAAUACUGUAUCUGUGGCUUCCAGCUUAGGUUGUAGUGAAAAAAGACUCCCAGGUAUUUAAAUUUGAAAACUUGUUCUAAUUGGACUCCAUCUAGGAGCUCACCCCAUCACGGGGAUUCGAACCACUGACCUUCUGAUCGGCAAGUCCUAGGCUCUGUGGUUUAACCCACAGAGCUCCACCCGUGUCCCCUUUAAAUGUGAUACUUGUGCAUUAAAUGUAUGGUAUAUAUGCAGCAAUUAUAAUGGCGUUCCGUCAGGUCUGUUCUUAACCUGAAACUGUUCUUAACCUGAAGCACCACUUUAGCUAAUGGGGGCCUCCUGCUGCUGCCGCGCCGCCGGAGCUCAAUUUCUGUUCUCAUCCUGAAGCAAAGUUCUUAACCCGAGGUACUAUUUAUGGAUUAGCAGAGAGUGUAACCUGAAGCAUCUGUAACCUGAAGCGUAUGUAACCCGAGGUACCACUGUAUAUGCAGCACAAGACCAGGUUGCAGACUGCAGUUUUUGUCCUGCUCUUCCCUGUGACUUUGUUGCUCUCUUAGUUGCUGGUCUAGCAGUUUGUGAUCAUCUUUGGGUUCCCUCCCUGCCUUGCUGAUCAAGGCAUUUUUCUAGCAUGGGCAGCAAUUAUAUAUAGGUGACCUAGUGCUUUCCAGGGAAGGAUGUCACAGCUGCUUUGGCUAAAGUGAGAGCAGGAACUCAAAUCCCAAUUCCAGAAGCUGAGUGGUAACUCAAUAUGGGGCGAGGCUCCUGUGUCUGUCCAGUAGUGCUGCAGGAGGUAGAAUUGUUGCAGCUAGUUAUACAGAAUUUGCAAAGUAGUAGCAUUGGAGGUUUAAUAGUGAUAGGCUUUUCAACAACUGCAGCACCUGUGGUUGGGAGAAACUACGUCUGUUCUAAGUAUCCAUUAUAUGAAACAUUGAAAACGCCCAGGAAAGCUGUUCCCUUCUAGCUUUCCUCAUCCAUCCCAUGCUUAUUCUUGUUCCAUUAUUAUUAAAGUGCCCAACCAUAAAGAAUAAUUGACUAGAUUGCUGCAGCCACAUUAAAAUCAAGAAUUUCAAAACAGGUGGCUGAUACCAAUUCUAUGAAAAUGACAGACAUGAUUUCAGAGAAUCAGACAGUGCAAUUUUGCUAAACAGUGGUACUGUCAAAUGGUUUUUUUCAUAAGGAGUUCUAGAGGGUGGUCUUUACUUUGGAAAAGUAAGGGGUUAAAUGUAGCUUUCAAAAAGCUCUAGCAGUCAUCUUAAAAGAGGAGCAGGAGAUGUAACUGUCAUGUGAUUUAUUGCAUUAAAUUGAAUAUUUUGUAGCAUGCAUUUACUUACUUAUAAUGUAAUUUUAAAUUUUCAUUGUAUACUGCCCUGAAAUGCAUUUUUUGGUAAAGGGCAGCUUGUAAAAUUUUAAAAUAAAUAGCUAUUCCGAUUUCUGACCAUGAGUCCAACAUUUCCAGGUUAUGUAGCACAGAUUAGCACAAAGGAGGCAAAUGAGUACCACUCAUGUUCCCUUUUUGUGUAGCACCAGCAUACCUUGCAGAGCUAAUAUACUGAAGUAAAAAGGUAAAGGGACCCCUGACCGUUAGGUCCAGUCAUGGCUGACUCUGGGGUUGCUGCACUCAUCUCGCUUUAUUGGCCGAGGGAGCCGGUGUACAGCUUCCGGGUCAUAUGGCCAGCAUGACUAAACCACUUCUGGCGAACCAGAGCAGCACAUGGAAACACCGUUUACCUUCACGCCGGAGCGGUACCUAUUUAUCUACUUGCACUUUGAUAUGCUUUCAAACUGCUAGGUUGGCAGGAGCAGGGACUGAUCAACGGGAGCUCACCCUGUCGCAGGGAUUCAAACCGCCGACCUUCUGAUCAGCAAGUCCUAGGCUCUGUGGUUUAACCCACAGCGCCACCCGCGUCCCAUAAUAUACUGAAGUAGGCUUCCAAAAACAUCCCAGCCUUCCAGUGAUUUUAUAUAAAGAGGCUGUAUAACUGAUAUUAGCGAACAUUAUUCCCCUAUUGCCAGUUCACUUGUAACCAUAUUACAUAUUCACUGCAAGCAAGCCUUCCAUCUGGAGAGUCCCUUAAAGCAGUGGUGAGGAAGCUUAGGCCCAGUAGUUGAAUGAAGUGCUCAAGGCCUCUCCUGUCAGGCCCUGAGGAAUCCCCAGGCCAUACCCCUCACUGGCUCCCCUCUUGCCCUUAAGCACUUUUGCCUCAUUGGAAUGUUUAGAUUAUUUAGCAAAAUGUAUAUCCCUCUUGAUUGAUGUAAAACCACUAAGCAGUUUACGAGAAAUAUAGCUUAGUCAGUCGAGCAAGGGUCGUGGAUCCCAUGUUGGGCAAAAGAUUCCUGCAUUGCAGAUGGUUUUUAGAUUAUUUUUAGAUUAUCUAGAUUAUUUUUGUGGUCCUUUCCAACUCUGAUAAAGUUUCCCCUUACCUGCCUUAGUGGAUCAAGGCUCAGCAACUGCACAUGAAAAAUCUGAUGCAUAUGUGCAUAUGCAGUGCUUGCACCAGAUUGGUGUGUAUGCAGCCCUGCUUUUCAGAAUAAUUUUAUUAGUCUGUUUCACACGCGCGCACACAAAUCUGCAUACUCCAGUGCAACCCCAUCAAACCCAGUGGAGCUUACUUCCUAUGGAUAACUUCAUAGGACUUGGAAUUCUAAUCUGAGGUAGCCAGGAUGAAAACUGAAGCAGGGUUCCUCUUUAUGCUGGAUUAGUUAAUCCAGGAUAUUUUGUUUCUGGCUCCGCCCAUCAGCUCUGGCUGUGGCUCUGCCCACCACUGACAUGCUUUCCUGGCCAAUUACCCGCAAGUGAUUGUGGUUCCUAGCAAGAAAAAAUGCUGCUUAAGCCUGUCUUAGAUAAGAGAUUUUUUGGAUGUUGUAUUCAUUUUCAUGUUGUGUACCGGGGGGGGGGCGGGCGGUGCUGGAAGAUUUACCCUACCAUUUGUUGGGUUGCACAGUUUAGUGGGUAAGUAAGACUUGGGUGGCGCUGUGGGUUAAACCACAGAGCCUAGGACUUGCCAAUCAGAAGGUUGGCGGUUCGAAUCCCUGCCACAGGGUGAGCUCCCGUUGCUCGGUCCCUGCUCCUGCCAACCUAGCAGUUCAAAAGCACGUCAAAGUGCAAGUAGAUAAAUAGGUACCGCUCUGGCGGGAAGGUAAACGGCGUUUCCGUGUGCUGCUCUGGUUUGCCAGAAGCAGCUUAGUCAUGCUGGUCACAUGACCCAGAAGCUGUUUGCCGGCUCCCUUGGCUCUGGUUCGCCAGAAGCAGCUUAGUCAUGCUGGCCACAUGACCCGGAAGCUAUACGCCGGCUUCCUCAGCCAAUAAAGCAAAAUGAGUGCCACAACCCCAGAGUUGGCCACGACUGGACCUAGUGGUCAUGGGUCCCUUUACCUUUACCUUAAGACACAGGUAUCUUGAACAGAUUCUUGCUGGGACUCUCUGUAAGAUCGAACAAUUUUUAUUUAGCAAACAGCCAAGAAUGUGUUUUUUACAACUGAGUCCCCCCCUCCCACCACCACUCUUGUAAAUCAAGUAGACUAUUUUAUUGAUCAAUAGCUCUGUAUAGAAGUUGACUUCCAGUGUAUCAAAUAAUGUUUUUUGGUCAUGACCUAUGGGCAGACCAGGUCUGCAUCUGAUGUACCUAUUUUGGCUUUGAUUUUGUAUUGAUAUUUUUAUACAGUUGCUACGGCUUAUAACCAAGCGACUAAACCAACUUACCUAUUUAAGAACUGGACCGUUUUAUUGGAAUAUAAAAGAGAGCAGCUCAUAUACAGUGGUGCCUCGCAAGACGAAAUUAAUCCGUUCCGCGAGAGUCUUCGUCUAGCGGUUUUUUCGUCUUGCGAAGCAACCCUAUUAGCGGCUUAACGGAUUAGCGCUAUUAGCGGUUUAGCGGCUAUUAAAGGCUUAAAGGCUUAGGGGAUUAGCUGCUAAAAGGCUAUUAAAGGCUAUUAAAGGCUUAGCAGAUUAGAUAAAGGGGGAAGCGAAAAAUCUCUAGACUCGCAAGACAUUUUCGUCUUGCGAAGCAAGCCCAUAGGGAAAUUCGUCCUGCGAAGCAACUAAAAAACGGAAAACCCUUUCGUCUAGCGGGUUUUCCGUCUUGCGAGGCAUUCGUCUUGCGGGGCACCACUGUAUAGUGUGGUGCUGAUAAUGCCAAGGCUGCAGGUUUGAUUCCUGUAUGAGGCAGUUACAUAUUAUUGCAUUGCAGGGCGUUGGACUAGAUGAUCCUCAGGGUCCCUUCCAACUCUACAAUUCUUCGAUUUUGUGAUUUUUGGUGAGCAUUUUUAAGGCAGGGGAGGGGAACCUUGGGCCCAGGAGCCACGUGUGGCUCUCCAGGCCUUUCUAUCUGGCCCUUGAGACUCCCCCCAGGCCAUACCCCCUCAUUGGCCCUGUUUAACACCCGGCAUAUUUUUUUGCCUGGCUGGAAUGGGUCCUUGAACUCUGCUAAUGCUCUUUACCUGUCUGGAUAUAGGCUAGACUAGAGAUGGGUGAGUGAAUGUGCAUAGAAAUGACAGUAUGGUACAAAUGCAAAAUUCACAUUCAUUGCUCUGCCCAAUUUCGCCUCUGGUCUUGGAAGGCUGCUGAAAUAUACUCAGAGUCGAGUGUGGAUUUCAUGCUCUUUAUUCAGGUCAUAGAAGUGAGGAAUGAAAGUUCCCCCAAAAUAUCUGCUUUAUAUACAUUAUUUACACAAAGGGCUGCACGUGACUGGCUAAUUCCGGGAUUCUCCUGUAGGCCAAUCAGGUUGUGGAUUCACUUCCACCUGGAGCUGGAUUGGGUGGCUCCUGCGGACCAAUCAUACUGCUGCAUUGUUCUAGGAUCAAUCAGACUGCUGCAUUCUGAAUCCUAUUGUUCUAAGACCAAUCAGACUGCUGCAUUUUGGGUCCUAUUCAACUCAGUACAUAACAGCUGCCCAGAAGGGAAUGCAGCCCUCAGGCUGAAGAAAGCGUCCCACCCUUGCUUUAAGCUACCUGGGAUGCUGCUCUGCGGGAAUCGGCCCAUUGCAACAUAAAGGCAGCUAUGUUAGCAGACAGUUGUGUAGCAACAUGAUAGGGGCGUGCCACUGACUCACACUUCCUGCCCUUCCACUGUGGCUUCCAUCUUAUCACACUCCCCUUCCUGGCUGUUGGGAGUUCCCUUUUCCUUCCAACACCUGUUACACUAGCUGUGUGAUGUCCAGAUUGCAGUUUUGGAAAGAAAGAAGAAAGGCUUGCCUCAAAAUUCCCAAUCAAGAAAAGGGACCACAAAUGGUAUCUUCCUGUUCUUCUGAUUAAGCUAUAAGGUUUCCCCGAUCAAUAACACUUUCUGGUUUAUACUUCCCCUAAGAGAGUUAGUUUGUGUAUACUGUACACCGCACUUUUUAAAAAAAAUUAAGUAAAUAAACCGCUUUGAGGGUUUCCCCCCUACAAUCAAGUGGUAUAUAAAAUUUAUGAAGUAAAUAAUAAUGCAUUUAAAGCACAUUGCUCCCCCCCCCAAAAAAAUAAUUUAUGGGAACUGGAGUUUGCCACUCACAAAGCUACAGUUCCCAUAAUCCUGAAUGAACUACAGUUCCCAAGAUUCUUGAAAGCAAGCAGGCAAAGUCAUGUGCUUUAAAUGUUUGGCAUGUGUACGCAGCCCUAAUGUGGUAUUGCAGUUAAGAGUGUUGGACUAAGUUCUCACUUGGCCAUGAAGCUUAUUGGGUUGCCCUGGACUAGUCGUUCUCAAUGUAACUUGCACCCCAAGACUACCGCGAGGACGAAGAUCGGCGAGAGGGGAAGAAGACAAAGUGUACACCAAACUCCUUGGAGGAAGGAUAGGAUAAAAAUAGGAUGGUAAUAUAUGGACAGCUGCCACAUAUCUAAAGCCCAUCUUCAUAUCCUAGACACAGCAGUGAAAUUUCAGUAAUACAAUAUUGUAAUGAAGGAAUGAUUAUGCCCUUGUAAGUUUGGAAAAACAGAAAUGUUACUCAGUUGUGGUGCUCUAGUGCCGCAGCUUUCUAGAUGCAUUCUAAGGUAUGUCUCAGACCAAAAGUGACUGGGCAGCUAGUUUUUUGUUGUUGCUGAAUAAUACCAAGAUGCCCAAAAUGUAAAAGGUAGUCAUGUUGGCCCAUAAGAAAAAUUCCAAAAGGGCAAUACCUUGAAGAGGCUGACCAAAAUAUCACAAAAUAGCAUGCAAGCUUUUGAAUUUUCCAUAACUUUUUAUUCGGGAGCAGGGGAGGUAAGAGAGAAAGAGGAAAAGUAGCUGAGGUUGAAGCAAAACAUCUUAGGUUGAAGCGAGUAGGUAAUAAAUGAAAAUUACAUUUUUAAUUUCAACUUCCGUUAUUGCAGGAUGGAUCUGAUGGGAGUUGUAGUUCAACAGCAUCUGGCGAGCAUCCAGUCAGAGAAAAAGGUAACAGAUCAUAGACAUGGCUUUUAUAACUGAUUGUUUUUAUCAGUAUUAGAAACUGAGAUAUGAAAGCUAGGAGCUGAAUAGCACCUUAAACCUAUGUUAUGGGUGCAAUAACUGAAUAUCUAGGUGCAUGUUUUUUUAUAACAAGAAUACAAAACUGAAAAUGAAUGAACUGCAGCUAAAAUAUUAUGUUCAUCUAGUCCAUCCCCUGCCUACCUCCCUAAUAUUCUUAAGAGGGUCUCUUCUCCAGGCUUCAGACAGUAGCUGGAAAUGGGGAGGCAGAAAAAGGUCCUCCUUUCCUUCCACUCUGCGGUUUUAAUCUGAAAUCUUAGGUGCCCAGGGCUCAGAAACUGCUUGCGCUAAUGAAAUCCCCUGUCGCAAAAUGUCCCUAGAACAAUGGGAGUUUCAAACAUUGGUUUUGAUACCUUGAUACACACCAGUGGCAUUAAUCUGAUUAUUUUAAAUCUUAAACAUACUCAUUUGAAAUACAUUCUUUGAACACAUUCCUUUGAAAUGUGGGGAUUUCUUCCAAGUAAAUGAACCAAGGAUGGGGGUGUUAAAUCUCUCAGUGAUUAGUGAAGUGCACCAUUUGAAGGAAUACGGUUAUGGUGGGAAUGAACCUAGAAAACAUCACAAUAACCAAGGGAGAUUGGGAGCAAUUCUCAUAAGACAAACAGGCCAGAAUAAAUAGACACACAAAUUGGACAUGAGGAACAGGCUUUUGCAUUUGCAUUCUCCCAGGACCCUCUGCCACUGACUUUAAGGUGCUUGUUAUUGAGCAAAAGAACUCCAAAGGGAGGUUGCAAACUUUAAACCACUGAUUUACAAUUUAUGAGGAAGUUCCAUUUUAUCACCUCUGGCUUGAAUCAGUUUUUUAAACAAUCACACUACACCAGUUAAUUCUCUUACCAAUUGAAGGAUGUUUGUGUUAUCACCAGCCCUGCUUUGUGAAUGGCAACUGUUAAGUCUGUUAAGUCAUUUCCCUCUAAACUCACAUUUACAAUUAUCCGCCACCUGAAACUUAGGCUAACACUUAAUUCAUCUGAAGAAAUGGACUGCAGGCUACAAAAAAACUUAUUCUUUAAUAAAUUUGUUAGUUAAGUGCUACAAGACUCUGUGGCUUUUGUUUCAACAGACUUACAUGGCUACCCCUCUGGACAAAGUUAUUAUAGUAAAGAAUUACAGGAUUGUGUCUCAAACUGUGUUAACAUGUACCUUGGUGAUUCCUGGUUCUGCUCUUGAUCUUGCUGUCAUGCAUUCCUAUAAAAUUCAUGCACACAGCUCCACUGUAGCGUUCUACUCUAGUUUAACCCUGAU